GCCCCAUACACGUGAGACGAACAGCUGGGGUGGAACCAAAAAAUCCCCUGCGCCAAAUUGUGCGCCCAGGACAUCGUUGGCUGCCGCACGCGAUCGCUGGUUGCGCGGGCCGACUAUAUACGCCGACGUCGGAGAGAUAUCGGACGAGUGUGCAUCCCAGCCUUUUUGGUGCGUUCCAGUCCAGAUCGUUCUGGCAAGGCAUGGGGAAAUACGGGCAUGGCCGUGGUACACCUCAGUUCCCCACAUUUUUCCUGCUUUUACUGCUGACGUUCGAAGCGACGCGUUGCGUCGGUUUCGGGGACCAACCGGUACUGGGAGGGUGGGUGCAGCAGGACCCACGAGACCCAGCCUUCCUUAUCGCGGCACGCUUCGCCGAACGGAAGGCUGCGAUGCAAGGCGGUCAUCGAUACCGCGUGCUCCGGGUCACGUCUGCGUGGACCCAGGUUGUGAAUGGCAUCAACUACAAAGUGCAUUACACGAGGGGACUCAAGUGCGGACCUGGUGAAAGUUAUAGGAUGUGCGACGAGAAUCCGGGUGAG
Molecule: long non-coding RNA, 539 nt
Filed under: Dermacentor andersoni
Lineage: Eukaryota; Metazoa; Arthropoda; Arachnida; Ixodida; Ixodidae
Description: uncharacterized LOC126534070
Source: RNAcentral